Molecule: long non-coding RNA, 327 nt
Organism: Pseudoliparis swirei
Lineage: Eukaryota; Metazoa; Chordata; Actinopteri; Perciformes; Liparidae
Exons: 2
Source: RefSeq, a predicted model, not a curated record
UGUGAAGCUAGACACACUCUACCUACAUCAGGGCCUGUGAACGGCUCUUCAGCAUCGCAGGACUCGUCUUCAGCCCCAGAAGAGCGAGACUGACAUCUGUCCAUUUUGAAAAUCAACUUCUUUUGAAGAUGAACAAUACAUUUUUCACUUUAAAGUGAUGAUUCUGGUUGUUACUUUUGGUUCUGCUUUUUUCUGUGUUAAUCGUGUUUUUAUAUUUUAGUAAUUUCAUAGUAUUCAUAUAUUGCUAAGUUCAUCCUAGCUCAUACUCCUUGUUCAUGGCGGCCACAGCACCCAAACAAAUAAACUUCAUAAUUCUCAAAAUUCUGA